UACGGAGGGGGCUAGCGUUGUUCGGAAUUACUGGGCGUAAAGCGCACGUAGGCGGCUUUGCAAGUCAGAGGUGAAAGCCCGGGGCUCAACCCCGGAAUUGCCUUUGAGACUGCAUCGCUAGAAUUGUGGAGAGGUAAGUGGAAUUCCGAGUGUAGAGGUGAAAUUCGUAGAUAUUCGGAAGAACGCCAGUGGCGCAGGCGACUUACUGGACACAUAUUGACGCUGAGGUGCGAAAGCGUGGGGAGCAAACAGG
This 253-nucleotide ribosomal RNA is filed under the name uncultured bacterium. RNAcentral describes it as "partial 16S ribosomal RNA". It matches the Rfam family "Bacterial small subunit ribosomal RNA", at positions 524 to 776 of the family's 1533-position model. The record is from RNAcentral.